AACAUCGCGCACCUGCGGGAACCUGCGGAAGGAUCAUUACCGAGUUGUACAACUCCCAAACCCACUGUGAACCUUACCUCAGUUGCCUCGGCGGGAACGCCCCGGCCGCCUGCCCCCGCGCCGGCGCCGGACCCAGGCGCCCGCCGCAGGGACCCCAAACUCUCUUGCAUUACGCCCAGCGGGCGGAAUUUCUUCUCUGAGUUGCACAAGCAAAAACAAAUGAAUCAAAACUUUUAACAA
This 240-nucleotide unclassified non-coding RNA is filed under the name soil metagenome. RNAcentral describes it as "partial contains 5.8S ribosomal RNA, internal transcribed spacer 2, and large subunit ribosomal RNA". The record is from RNAcentral.